AUGCUUCUUCUCAUGAUGUAUCUGGAUUUAAUCAUAUGCACACUCAAUUAUGCAUAAGCAUAGUAAGGUACUUAGAAGAAGAAGUUUACUUUAUGGUAUAUGUACUACAAACCAGACUAGGUUGUAUCAGCACAUUUCCCAUGGUUCCAAGUUUAUUAGAGGAAGUGCUGGGAAGGAAACAGAUAUUAACAGGAGGUUGCUAAGAAAGAUCUAUGUACUCAAGCCAAGUCAGCAUGGAAUGAAGACCUUCUCAAUGUUAACUUCAAAGCAACCAGAUUUCCAGAAGAAAAAUCUCUACAUUCUGUACGAAACUUCCUCAUUUCUGAAGCUUCCUGGGCACAAUUUUUCUCCUGUUGACAGGGCCCAGCCUGGACCACUCGAAGGCCAGCAGAGAACUUCUCAGUCAAGUCAGGUUGAGUCACAGCCCCACGUAAAGGUAGGAAAAUUUAUGCUGGCAGAACCCAACAAUCCCUAGACAUUUGAGGAGCCAACACAGACAAAAAGGUGAAACAGCAGAGACAACUGCAGAGGACACAUCAUACACCAUCACCCUAUGCUUGGCUCCAACUGGGAGCUGAAAACUAGUAACAAAAUUUAAACAGACAAGAACAUACCAAUCUCCCCAAAUGAUACCUCAGUGUGUGAGCCUAUGUGUCUGUUUAUGUGUACAUGUGUGCACAAACAUCUGUGCUGAAGACACAUCUACUCUCUGAUGCCUUCUUACAUUGUCCCAAAACAAGAGUCUACCUUGUAAUCAAACCAGCAAGCAGCCCUAAGGAUGCAGUCUACAGAGGUGAACCUUAUAAAGCACAGAUCCAGCUAGAGGAAAGCAGAGAAUGGCUUGGGAAAGAUAGAGAGAGA
This 861-nucleotide long non-coding RNA is filed under the name Rattus norvegicus (Norway rat). RNAcentral describes it as "long non-coding RNA NONRATT032191". Lineage: Eukaryota; Metazoa; Chordata; Mammalia; Rodentia; Muridae. The record is from RNAcentral.